ACGCACGCUGGCGGCGUGCUUAACACAUGCCAGUCGCACGGAAAGGCCCUGCUUGCAGGGUACUCGAGUGGCGAACGGGUGAGUAACACGUGGGUGAUCUGCCCUGCACUUCGGGAUAAGCCUGGGAAACUGGGUCUAAUACCGGAUAGGAGCCAUUUUUAGUGUGAUGGUUGGAAAGUUUUUUCGGUGUAGGAUGAGCUCGCGGCCUAUCAGCUUGUUGGUGGGGUAAUGGCCUACCAAGGCGGCGACGGGUAGCCGGCCUGAGAGGGUGGACGGCCACAUUGGGACUGAGAUACGGCCCAGACUCCUACGGGAGGCAGCAGUGGGGAAUAUUGCACAAUGGGCGCAAGCCUGAUGCAGCGACGCCGCGUGGGGGAUGACGGCCUUCGGGUUGUAAACUCCUUUCGCUAGGGACGAAGCUUUUUGUGACGGUACCUAGAUAAGAAGCACCGGCUAACUACGUG
This 464-nucleotide ribosomal RNA is filed under the name uncultured bacterium. RNAcentral describes it as "partial 16S ribosomal RNA". It matches the Rfam family "Bacterial small subunit ribosomal RNA", at positions 29 to 507 of the family's 1533-position model. The record is from RNAcentral.